GCGCCGAUGACCGCGCGCGGCGACGAGGUGCGCACGGCAGCGACCGUUGAAGGGUCCCGUAUAAUCUCGCCCCCUCCUCCCCUCUCACUAACAGGCGGGCCCCCACUGACAGGACCCUCUCCUGCGCCUCUCUCUCUCUCUCACGAGUCACCAACAGAGGAGCGGCGGCGGCGUCCGGCGGCGCGCAUCGAGCACGAAGGAGGCCAGGACGAAGCGGCAGGCCGACGACCAGUGGCACCUCUAUCUUCUUAGCUCCUGAUUCCUCGCCAGUGCAUAGAGAUGUCGUCGUAUGUCGUGUACAAGGGUGAGGUUCCCAGAGUCUACGACGACUAGGAGGAGUGUCGAAGACAGGUUCACCGUUUUAGCGGUAACUGUUACAAAGGGUACACCACUAAGACACAGGCGGAAGCUAGAUACGCGCGCUAUCUAGCGGGAGAGAGGAGGGAGCGGA
Hordeum vulgare subsp. vulgare (domesticated barley) is the source of this 451-nucleotide long non-coding RNA. RefSeq lists it as uncharacterized. NCBI's taxonomy places the organism in Eukaryota, Viridiplantae, Streptophyta, Magnoliopsida, Poales, Poaceae. The transcript is spliced from 3 exons. The record is from RefSeq and is a predicted model, not a curated record.